Molecule: non-coding RNA, 1465 nt
Organism: Cyanistes caeruleus (blue tit)
Lineage: Eukaryota; Metazoa; Chordata; Aves; Passeriformes; Paridae
Source: RefSeq, a predicted model, not a curated record
ACCGGUAGGUUAUGUAACUUGACCGGUGUGGAUGACUGAAGAGCAGGCCCAGGUUGCUGGGGACACGGCUGCUAUUGGCUGGUUGGCAGGGGGGCAACCAGUUCAGAAAAUGGGGCUUAACCACGCGGACCUUCACAGCUAUAUAUGGAAAAGAGCACUCCAUAAAAGCUGGCUACAUGAGCUUUGGUGUGUUUAUGUUACGUCCCUGUCUACAACAUCAAAGUGACAGCCAAUGACGGAGUGGAUGAUUUCAUGCAUGGAUGAAGCAUAGGCAGGGAAGAAUCCUAGCAGUAGCACCCACAGCUACCAAGUGUUUUGAUGACAUUGAGGCAAGCUUUCAGUUUCACUGGAACAUAACUCUUGCAGCUGUGGAAGUAUAGACAGCCUGCUUAAGAGAAUUAACCUUUGCCUGUGUUUCCUGGGCAACACAGAUAAGGAAAGUUUUCUUUUCAGACCCCACUGAAAUCAUUUACACAGAGAAGAAUAAACAUAGUGGAAUAAAUACACACAUAGAAGAAUAAAGAAGCCCAGGUGGGAAAGUUACUCUGAAGUAAGACAAUUUACCAAGUGGACACCCCUAGCCAUUCCUUAGGUAGUUUGAUUCUGGCACAGAUGAAGGUAUUUACCAUGUACAAGGACUGAGUCGUCAUGGGAAUUUAGAUGCACUUAGAAGAACACCAGUUCUGUUGUUUGAAUACAUUCUUAUUAUAGAUAGACAAUUCAAUGUCUGCCCAAAAUAUUUGUCUUUUGAUAGGCUCACAGUAUUUUAUGAUCAAACUAAAACAAACAAUACUGAAGAGUGGGGGAAGAGGAUUUUUUGUUGUUCCUUAUUCCUCAUCUCAAUAAUAAGGGUCUUGCUAAGGGUCCUACUUAUUUUGUUUUUAUACACAUACACAUAUAUGUAUGUUAUUUUAUACAAUUUUAAACUAAUAUAUUUGUAAAUCCUGGUCAGUAAGUAGAAGUAACAAAAGCUGUUAGAAAUGUUGCUGUUUCAGUGGAGCUCCUGUAAACAUUUCACCACUGGCAAGCACUUGCUGAUACAUACUUUAAGAUAAUUUCAUUAUUUUUGUUUGAUUUAAACCUUUGGUUUGUUUUUAACCUUUCCUAGAGUAUUUUUAGUAAUUUUAAUUACUGUUCCUAGACUAAAAUCAGCUUCUGUCCCCAUUUUCCUUAAAUAAAUUGUCUUUUCCAAAAGAGUAUCAUAAAAUAGAUGAAAAGCGCGUUCCAGUGCCUAAAGACUUAAGGAGAAGUAAAGGAUUUGACAAGGAGAUUGCUAUAAAACUGCUUAUCAAUUUGUACUUUCUGAUUACUCUCCCAACUCUCCCUUCAUUUUCUAUGAGAUGCUCUGUGAGCCAAUGCCCCAACUUUCUUCAGGUGAAACAGAAGUGUAGAAUUCUCCUGGUUUGACUUCUAUAGACUCUAUUUAUUGUCUGAUUUCUUAUAAUAAAGUGGAAGAUAAAGAAAA